CACACACACACCGUCCCCAUCUCCAAACAAAGCCUGAGUGACUCACAAGUCUGCAAUUCCACCACUCUGACUUCCCACGCUAAAAUCACAACAACAAGGUUCCGGGAACAAAAUGGCCGCCUCCUCUUGACGCCGUUACUUGAGGCCAAUUCCUUUCCCCUGAUUGCCUCAUUUUCAAAGCUUCUUUUUUCCGAACCAUCUAAUCAGCCCCAGCUACAUUCUGCUUUCGAUUUUGCUCCAAGUGCUCAGAGCGCAAUAGUAGAAAGACAGAAUGUGGAGCAUUAGCAUACGUUUGAAGCGCUAUCAUUUGAGGUAGAUAUGGCACCACAUUAACACCGGAUGGCUCAGCCCACAGAAGAACGCUGUCAUUUUUCAUCAUACCCCAAAUUGAUUGGUAUCUACAGGAUUUAUUGAAGAGCAAAACCAUUCACAAGACCUCAAGGUUUCUGGCUGUAAUGCUAAGGACCUGAAGUUAACAGCGUGGCGGAUGCUCUACAUUGCAUUCUGUCAAACUGCCUUGCCAUUGCCACAACCUGGACUGGGGCAGAGCAUAAGGCCUGUUUGAGGGACUUGUUUCUGAAGACCAUUCUUCACAAAGCCAUUCGGAAGAACCCAGGAUGCCAUGGAUAAGGGGGUCCAGAUUCAGGUCACCCUUUAGCUGAAAGGGGCCUCCGAUUGUGAAGGCGGG
This 688-nucleotide long non-coding RNA is filed under the name Salmo salar (Atlantic salmon). Its description in RNAcentral is "lncRNA (ENSSSAG00000089377.1)". The record is from RNAcentral. Lineage: Eukaryota; Metazoa; Chordata; Actinopteri; Salmoniformes; Salmonidae.